RNAcentral lists this ribosomal RNA (276 nucleotides) under uncultured soil bacterium. RNAcentral's name for it is "partial 16S ribosomal RNA". It matches the Rfam family "Bacterial small subunit ribosomal RNA", at positions 26 to 301 of the family's 1533-position model. The record is from RNAcentral.
AGAUUGAACGCUAGCGGGGAUGGCUUUACGACAUGCAAGUCGAACGGCAGCGCGGACUUCGGUCUGGCGGCGAGUGGCGAACGGGUGAGUAAUAUAUCGGAACGUGCCCAGUAGCGGGGGAUAACUACGCGAAAGCGUGGCUAAUACCGCAUACGCCCUACGGGGGAAAGGGGGGGAUCGCAAGACCUCUCACUAUUGGAGCGGCCGAUAUCAGAUUAGCUAGUUGGUGAGGUAAAGGCUCACCAAGGCAACGAUCCUUAGCUGGUCCGAGAGGAU